RNAcentral lists this ribosomal RNA (506 nucleotides) under uncultured bacterium. Its description in RNAcentral is "partial 16S ribosomal RNA". It matches the Rfam family "Bacterial small subunit ribosomal RNA", at positions 28 to 523 of the family's 1533-position model. The record is from RNAcentral.
GAUGAACGCUAGCUACAGGCUUAACACAUGCAAGUCGAGGGGUAACGAGAGGAAAGCUUGCUUUCCUUGUCGACGACCGGCGCACGGGUGAGUAACGCGUAUCCAACCUGCCCCCAACUAAGGAAUAACCUUGCGAAAGUAAGACUAAUACCUUAUAAUUUCCUCAGAUGACAUCUGACGAGGAAUAAAGAUUUAUCGGCGGUGGAUGGGGAUGCGUCUGAUUAGCUUGUUGGAGGGGUAACGGCCCACCAAGGCAACGAUCAGUAGGGGUUCUGAGAGGAAGGUCCCCCACAUUGGAACUGAGACACGGUCCAAACUCCUACGGGAGGCAGCAGUGAGGAAUAUUGGUCAAUGGGCGAAAGCCUGAACCAGCCAAGUAGCGUGCAGGAUGACGGCCCUAUGGGUUGUAAACUGCUUUUAUACAGGAAUAAAGUUAGCCACGUGUGGUUAUUUGUAGGUACUGUAUGAAUAAGGACCGGCUAAUUCCGUGCCAGCAGCCGCGGUAA